AUUGAACGCUAGCGGGAUGCUUUACACAUGCAAGUCGAACGGCAGCGCGGACUUCGGUCUGGCGGCGAGUGGCGAACGGGUGAGUAAUGUAUCGGAACGUGCCCAGUAGCGGGGGAUAACUACGCGAAAGCGUAGCUAAUACCGCAUACGCCCUGCGGGGGAAAGCCGGGGAUCGUAAGACCUUGCACUAUUGGAGCGGCCGAUAUCGGAUUAGCUAGUUGGUGAGGUAAAGGCUCACCAAGGCGACGAUCCGUAGCUGGUUUGAGAGGACGACCAGCCACACUGGGACUGAGACACGGCCCAGACUCCUACGGGAGGCAGCAGUGGGGAAUUUUGGACAAUGGGGGCAACCCUGAUCCAGCCAUCCCGCGUGUGCGAUGAAGGCCUUCGGGUUGUAAAGCACUUUUGGCAGGAAAGAAACGUCGCGGGCUAAUACCCCGUGGAACUGACGGUACCUGCAGAAUAAGCACCGGCUAACUACGUG
This 484-nucleotide ribosomal RNA is filed under the name uncultured bacterium. RNAcentral describes it as "partial 16S ribosomal RNA". It matches the Rfam family "Bacterial small subunit ribosomal RNA", at positions 30 to 507 of the family's 1533-position model. The record is from RNAcentral.